CCUACGGGCGGCAGCAGUAGGGAAUCUUCCACAAUGGGCGAAAGCCUGAUGGAGCAACGCCGCGUGGGUGAAGAAGGUCUUCGGAUCGUAAAACCCUGUUGUUAGAGAAGAAAGUGCGUGAGAGUAACUGUUCACGUUUCGACGGUAUCUAACCAGAAAGCCACGGCUAAAUACGUGCCAGCAGCCGCGGUAAUACGUAGGUGGCAAGCGUUAUCCGGAUUGAUUGGGCGUAAAGGGAAUGAAGGCGGUCUUUUAAGUCUGAUGUGAAAGCCUUCGGCUUAACCGGAGUAGUGCAUUGGAAACUGGGAGACUUGAGUGCAGAAGAGGAGAGUGGAACUCCAUGUGUAGCGGUGAAAUGCGUAGAUAUAUGGAAGAACACCAGUGGCGAAAGCGGCUCUCUGGUCUGUAACUGACGCUGAGGUUCGAAAGCGUGGGUAGCAAACAGGAUUAGAUACCCUUGUAGUC
This 465-nucleotide ribosomal RNA is filed under the name uncultured bacterium. RNAcentral's name for it is "partial 16S ribosomal RNA". It matches the Rfam family "Bacterial small subunit ribosomal RNA", at positions 338 to 795 of the family's 1533-position model. The record is from RNAcentral.